GGUAGUGUGGCCGAGCGGUCUAAGGCGCUGGAUUAAGGCUCCAAUCUCUUAGCAGGCGUGGCUUCGAAUCCCACCGCUGCAG
This 82-nucleotide transfer RNA is filed under the name Hippoglossus stenolepis (Pacific halibut). RNAcentral's name for it is "tRNA-Leu". It matches the Rfam family "tRNA". From Rfam's summary of the family: Transfer RNA (tRNA) molecules are approximately 80 nucleotides in length. The record is from RNAcentral. Lineage: Eukaryota; Metazoa; Chordata; Actinopteri; Pleuronectiformes; Pleuronectidae.